UUAAAUCUGCCACCGGGUAGGAAUGCAUAUGUGCAUUCACAUACACAUCGUUAGGUCAUAGAAGAUGUGUAUAGUGGGUGCUUUUUUUAU
RNAcentral lists this non-coding RNA (90 nucleotides) under unclassified sequences. The record is from RNAcentral.